RNAcentral lists this ribosomal RNA (465 nucleotides) under uncultured bacterium. RNAcentral describes it as "partial 16S ribosomal RNA". It matches the Rfam family "Bacterial small subunit ribosomal RNA", at positions 338 to 795 of the family's 1533-position model. The record is from RNAcentral.
CCUACGGGGGGCAGCAGUGGGGAAUAUUGCGCAAUGGGCGAAAGCCUGACGCAGCGACGCCGCGUGAGGGAUGAAGGUCUUCGGAUCGUAAACCUCUGUCAGCAGGGAAGAACGGUCACUGUGCUAAUCAGCAGUGAAUUGACGCUACCUGCAAAGGAAGCACCGGCUAACUCCGUGCCAGCAGCCGCGGUAAUACGGAGGGUGCGAGCGUUAAUCGGAAUUACUGGGCGUAAAGCGCUCGUAGGCGGUAUGUCAAGUCAAGGGUGAAAUCCCCGCGCGCAACGUGGGAACUGCCUUUGAAACUGGCAAACUGGAGUGUGGGAGAGGAUAGUGGAAUUCCAGGUGUAGGAGUGAAAGCCGUAGAUAUCUGGAGGAACAUCAGUGGCGAAGGCGACUAUCUGGCACAUAACUGACGCUGAGGAGCGAAAGCGUGGGUAGCAAACAGGAUUAGAUACCCUAGUAGUC